GACGAACGCUGGCGGCGUGCUUAACACAUGCAAGUCGAGCGGAAAGGCCCUUCGGGGUACUCGAGCGGCGAACGGGUGAGUAACACGUGAGUAAUCUGCCCUUGGCUUUGGGAUAACUACCGGAAACGGUGGCUAAUACCGGAUACGACAACCGUCUGCAUGGGCUGGUUGUGGAAAGUUUUUUCGGCCAGGGAUGUGCUCGCGGCCUAUCAGCUUGUUGGUGGGGUAAUGGCCUACCAAGGCUUCGACGGGUAGCCGGCCUGAGAGGGUGACCGGCCACACUGGGACUGAGACACGGCCCAGACUCCUACGGGAGGCAGCAGUGGGGAAUAUUGGACAAUGGGCGGAAGCCUGAUCCAGCAACGCCGCGUGAGGGAUGACGGCCUUCGGGUUGUAAACCUCUUUCAGUACCAACGAAGCGCCGAUGAUGGUGGUGACGGUAGGUACAGAAGAAGCACCGGCCAACUACGUG
This 472-nucleotide ribosomal RNA is filed under the name uncultured bacterium. RNAcentral's name for it is "partial 16S ribosomal RNA". It matches the Rfam family "Bacterial small subunit ribosomal RNA", at positions 28 to 507 of the family's 1533-position model. The record is from RNAcentral.